RNAcentral lists this ribosomal RNA (260 nucleotides) under uncultured bacterium. RNAcentral's name for it is "partial 16S ribosomal RNA". It matches the Rfam family "Bacterial small subunit ribosomal RNA", at positions 793 to 1055 of the family's 1533-position model. The record is from RNAcentral.
GUCCACACGGGUAAACGAUGAAUACUCGCUGUUUGCGAUAUACAGCAAGCGGCCAAGCGAAAGCGUUAAGUAUUCCACCUGGGGAGUACGCCGGCAAACGGUGAAACUCAAAGGAAUUGACGGGGGCCCCGCACAAGCGGAGGAACAUGUGGUUUAAUUCGAUGAUACGCGAGGAACCUUACCCGGGCUUAAAUUGCAGAUGAAUUACGGUGAAAGCCGUAAGCCGCAAGGCAUCUGUGAAGGUGCUGCAUGGUUGUCGU